GACGAACGCUGGCGGCGUGCUUAACACAUGCAAGUCGAGCGAGGCCCUUCCUUCGGGAAGGUGCCCUAGCGGCGAACGGGUGAGUAACACGUGGGCAACCUGCCCCUAGCACUGGGAUAACUCCGGGAAACCGGGGCUAAUACCGGAUAUGACCUUCGACGGCAUCGUUGAAGGUGUAAAGGAUUCUGGCUAGGGAUGGGCCCGCGGCCUAUCAGCUUGUUGGUGGGGUAAUGGCCUACCGAGGCGACGACGGGUAGCCGGCCUGAGAGGGCGACCGGCCACACUGGGACUGAGACACGGCCCAGACUCCUACGGGAGGCAGCAGUGGGGAAUCUUGCACAAUGGGCGAAAGCCUGACGCAGCGACGCCGCGUGAGGGAUGACGGCCUUCGGAUUGUAAACCUCUUUCAGCAGGGACGAAGCGAAAGUGACGGUA
RNAcentral lists this ribosomal RNA (435 nucleotides) under uncultured bacterium. RNAcentral describes it as "bacterial SSU rRNA". It matches the Rfam family "Bacterial small subunit ribosomal RNA", at positions 28 to 477 of the family's 1533-position model. The record is from RNAcentral.